Odocoileus virginianus texanus is the source of this 2064-nucleotide non-coding RNA. The record is from RefSeq and is a predicted model, not a curated record. NCBI's taxonomy places the organism in Eukaryota, Metazoa, Chordata, Mammalia, Artiodactyla, Cervidae.
AAUGCCACAUCUUUCUCCCCAGGUGCACAGCAUUGUGUCCAGUGUCCAGACCAGAAGUACCCAAUCAGGAAGAGAAAUCGCUGCCUCCCCAGAGUCCCGACCUUUGUGGCCUUAGAGGAGUCUCUGGGGAUGUCACUGGCCUGCACAGCUCUUUGCUUCUAUGUCCUCACAGCUGCGGUUUUGUGGGUCUUUGUGAAGCACCGAGACACCCCCCUAGUCAAGGCCAAUAACCGGGCUCUCAGCCAUGUCCUGCUCAUCUCCCUCCUCCUGUGCGUCCUCUGCUCCUUACUCUUCAUCAAUCAUCCCCACACAGCCACCUGCGUCCUCCAACAGAUCACAUUUGGAGCUGUGUUCACUGUUUUAGCCAAAACCCUGGCUGUGAUCCUGGCAUUCAAGGCCGGGAAACCAGGAAGAACCAUGAGGUGACUGCUGGUAACAGAAGCUGCUAUGUCUUUCCCAUGUGCUCCAUGAUCCAGGUGAUUAUCUGUGGAGUCUGGCUGGAAACUUCUCCCCCUUUCCUUGAGAUGGACACACUCUGAGCCAAGGAGCUCCUCAUCAUGUGGAACAAGGGCUUGGUCACUGCCUUCUACUGUGUCCUGGGCCACCUGGGCUCCUUAGCCCUGGGGACCUUCUCCUUGGCUUUCCUGGCCAGGAACCUGCCUGACACCUUCAGUGAAGCCAAUUUCCUGACCUUCAGCAUGCUGGUGCUCCUCAGUGUCUGGGUCACCUUCCUCCCCAUCUGCCACAGCACCAAGGGCAAGGUCAUGGUGGCCGUGGAGAUCGUCUCCAUCUUAGCCUCCAGUGCUGGGCUCCUAGGCUAUAUCUUUGCCCCAAAGUGCUAUAUUACCCUCCUAAGACUUGAGAACUCUCUGAAAGGUUUAAAGUAUCAAAUAGAUUCUAAGAGAAAUCUGCAUUCAGGUUUAUCUCAUAGUAAGUUGCUAUUACUUGGCUUUUUAACAGUAUACCAGAUAGAUAUUUCUUAUUCAUUCCAAUAAUAGCAUCAGAAUUGCUUUACUUCUAUUUCGCAGAGGAUCUUUUUUCUCUUUUUAAAAGUCUCAGUUAUUUAGAGUUAUGGAUAAAUGUUCUAUCUCAGAUUAAUGGCUCCUCAAAGCUCCUGCUACUGAAUCUAGCUGGGUCCUCCAUCAUUAAGUAUACAAUAAGUACAUCCUUCUUGUUUCCUCCACUCCUGUAUCCAGAAAGUUCAUUUUAUCUGUAAAAACAUUUCAGACCACCCUUGAUUAUGUCUGACAAGAGGAAAGAUUCCUAUUAGGAGAAAAUACUGAAGGUAUACAUGCUUUUCACACAUUAAUGCAAUUCUUUCAGAGAUUUUUAUUGAAAAUAAUAUUUUUUCUGAAUGCAGAAAGUAGCCAAUGAAAAAUACUGGUAGCUAUGGCGGAUUCAUGUUGAUGUUUGACAGAAAACAACAAAAUUCUGUAAAGCAAUUAUCCUUCAAUUAAAAAAUUAAAAUCUUUAAAAUUACUGGUAGUAUAUUUUCUUCAUUCAAAUCAUAAUUUUGCAAUUUACUUAAAAUAGAAACUUAAUCUUAACUCCUGAGUUUCCAAAUAAACAUGGGCUUUUUCUGGAGUCUCUACAUUAAUAUUCAGUUUGUUCAGUUUUUUCCUCCAAUAACAAACUUCAGAGAAAUAUUUUGGUAUGUUACUUUUCCCCACAUCCUCUCUCAUUUUAUCCCCCAAUAAAAGUUAUUUCUCUUUGAAUAAAUUCCUUUCCUUGUGAAUUUGAGAAUCAGCAUCUCUAAUUUCUAAAAAUUAUACUAUGUUUCUAUCUAUAUCAUACUUUAAGACAUAUUUGUCUUAAAGAAAAUGAGCUCAUUAAAAUGUUUUAAUCAUGGAUAAAGAUGGUAUUCUCUAUUUAAUCAGGAAUUUUAUUUCCUCUCAAUGCUUUAGUUUUUGUUUUUCUGUUGUUCAGUUGCUAUGUCUGACUCUUUGGGACCCCAGGGACUGCAGCACACCAGGCUUCACUGUCUUUCACCAUCUUCUGGAGUUUGUUCAAAUUCAGGGGUCCAUUGAGUCUAUGAUGCCAUCCAUUUCAUCCUCUGCACCUCCC